UACGGAGGGUGCAAGCGUUAAUCGGAAUUACUGGGCGUAAAGCGCGCGUAGGCGGUCAUUUAAGUCGGAUGUGAAAGCCCAGGGCUCAACCUUGGAAUUGCAUACGAUACUGGGUGACUAGAGUGUGGUAGAGGAUAGUGGAAUUUCCGGUGUAGCGGUGAAAUGCGUAGAGAUCGGAAGGAACAUCAGUGGCGAAGGCGACUGUCUGGACCAACACUGACGCUGAGGUGCGAAAGCGUGGGGAGCAAACAGG
This 253-nucleotide ribosomal RNA is filed under the name uncultured bacterium. RNAcentral describes it as "partial 16S ribosomal RNA". It matches the Rfam family "Bacterial small subunit ribosomal RNA", at positions 524 to 776 of the family's 1533-position model. The record is from RNAcentral.